GGAGCAAACAGGAUUAGAUACCCCGGUAGUCCACGCCGUAAACGAUGGGCACUAGGUGUUGGUUCACGAUGAGUGGAUCAGUGCCGAAGCUAACGCAUUAAGUGCCCCGCCUGGGGAGUACGAUCGCAAGGUUGAAACUCAAAGGAAUUGACGGGGGCCCGCACAAGCGGUGGAGCAUGUGGUUUAAUUCGAUGCAACGCGAAGAACAUUACCUGGGCUUGAACUGAAGUGGCUCGCCACCGAAAGGUGGUUUUUCCUUCGGGAACUGCUUCAGAGGUGCUGCAUGGCUGUCGUCAGCUCGUGCCGUGAGGUGUUGGGUUAAGUCCCGCAACGAGCGCAACCAUUGCCCUUAGUUGCCAUCAGGUUAUGAUGGGAACUCUAAGGGGAAUGCCCCGGAUAACGGGGAGGAAGGUGGGGAUGACGUCAAGUCCUCAUGGCCCUUACGUCCAGGGCUACACACGUGCUACAAUGGCUGGUACAACGGGAAGCGAUAUCGCGAGAUGGAGCAAAUCCUUAAAAACCGCUUUCAGUUCGGAUUGCAGUCUGCAACUCGACUGCAUGAAGUUGGAAUCGCUAGUAAUCGCGGAUCAGCAUGCCGCGGUGAUACGUUCCCGGGCCUUGUACACACCGCCCGUCACGCCAUGGAAGUCGGUAGCACCCGAAGCCGAUG
This 670-nucleotide ribosomal RNA is filed under the name uncultured organism. Its description in RNAcentral is "bacterial SSU rRNA". It matches the Rfam family "Bacterial small subunit ribosomal RNA", at positions 765 to 1432 of the family's 1533-position model. The record is from RNAcentral.